This is a long non-coding RNA of Clupea harengus (Atlantic herring), 2776 nucleotides long. Lineage: Eukaryota; Metazoa; Chordata; Actinopteri; Clupeiformes; Clupeidae. The record is from Ensembl.
GUCUGAACACAAGGAGGUUUUGGCAUUGAUGAAGUGUGCAAAGUAGAGAGGAUGGUGUUUAGUGUUUUGAAGAAAAUGUGGUUAACAAUUGAAAUCUGUGUCUAAAGCAGAUAAUUGUGUGUUGUGUUUUGAAGAAAGUGCGGUUAACAAUUGAAAUCUGUGUCUAAAGCAGAUCAUUGUGCUUAUAGUUUAGCAGAAUUGGUUUAGGGAGUUGGCACAUGAGUUACAGGUUGUGGUCAUUGUGCCAUAAGUUCCAGUUUUUCAAUGUAAUCAAUCGAGAAAAACUGUAAUUUGAUUUCAAUUCAAUAGUUAGUAAUGGUUUAAAUAAGAUCCCAGAUCCAGUAGGUGGCAGCAGUGUAGCAAAUAUCCAGUUUGACAUCGACCACAACAUUUGAUCACUAAUAUUGUUUCUUAUUUUGUUGAUGCUGUGUCCUAAAGGACUUUAGUGAAAUAUUUUUUGUAUGGUUUGUCUGCCUGACUUUCAAUGAAAUAAUUAAAUAGGUAAUCAUACUGUAGGUGUCCACCACCAUAUACGAAAUACCCACAUUUAAUAUUUUAAUUUAUUGCUAGAAAAAAACACGUGAAGUUGUGAAAGAGAACAAAGAAGACGUCAUGGUGCACGGAUAUACGGGCUGAAGUUUGGACUUUUGGAAUGGAAUACAACACAACAAUAAAACUGAAGAAAAACACACAGGUAAAAUUAGUUUAUGCUGCUUAGCAACGGAAGUGCUUUUCCAUUGCAUGGUAUCAUGGACUCGACUCUACUCUACUAUCAAGCCUUUUUGCUUGUGUUUCUGCCUUAAGCCCCUUAUUAAACAUUAUUUGUUUCUUGAGAAGGCUGUUUGUCUGCCUUCUUUAAAGUGUAUUUUCAGUUAGCGAUUAAGAGUCAGUGUGUCAUAGGUGUUCCCAAGUGUAAAUCGCAUAAAUGGUAGCCUAUAUAAACUGAUACCAUUUGCCAUUCUGUAGCAGUGUCUGAAUACUUGUGCGAAUUGUUACACUGAAGUUCUUUAGGACACGGCAUCAACAAAUAUGUUAAACAAUUAAAUAGUGCUGCACGAUUAAUCUAAUUGCAAGCGCAAUCACGUGUUUUAAUAAACGUGAAGCAAGCCAGAGACGCCUGCCUCUGAGAUCGCUACAAUAUACAGACAUUCAAAUGCUUAUCAAGGAUCUGCUGCAAAACUGUUUUGUAACAUCAUUUUUUUUUUAAAUUGCAAAGGUUAUUCCAUUGUCAACCAUUCCAUUGUCAACCAUAGUUGCUUUAUUAUCAUUGGUAAACACGAGACUGACUAAGUUAAAUAUCUACGAAUUAUAAACUUGUUUUGCAUCAAGAAAAGGUGCUUUUAAAUUAGAGUGUUCAUGAAAUAUGUAAACAUACCAUAAAAUAUUUAUUUUACACUUAAAUACUUUCAAGCAAAUACAUAUAUCCCUAAUAAAUACACACAAAUAAUUAUGCUAGAAUGAUGAAUUACCUUUUCAUUAUGUGAGAUUUUUCAGCAAACUGAAGUGAUUGACCAGUUAAAGUUUUAAAGCGCAAGUAAUGUUCCAGGCACUUAAGUGCAAUUUCAUCGACUUCUGGGUCAAAUUUGUUGGCGACAAGAUGCUGCUGCCUGAGAAUCCAGUUGAGAUCACCGGCACCAUACACACACACUGCUCUUCUGUAUCCUCCAUUGCAUGGGGGAUAAGAAGCCCCCUUCCUUACAUCUCCUUCAUGGUAAACCCACUUCACCAGACGGGCUAUGGAGUUCAUGUCCGUCGUGUCGUAUUUGUUGUUGGGAGGGCUGGACCCUGGCAUACCCGGCAUGCGCUGAAGAGAUGCCCAGAGGUGCUCAUCUGGACUGUAUGUGUCCUUCUCCCACUCAAGCAAAGCUUUAGCCUCUGGGUUUUUAAACAAGUGCUCCACAAACUCUCUCGACAGCACAAAGUAAGCAUUUCCAGAGAACAUUGGGCUACUGAUGGGAGGGGGGCUCUUCUUAAUGUCAGUCCGAAUGACAUCAGACUCAGUGACAUUGUGGUGGUACUCCCAGCGAGCCUUCUUGUGCGGAGGAGUUGCCUCAGACUCUAAGCUGUUCCGUCCAUUUAGCACUUUUAGUGCUCGCACCAUCUCUUUGUUGGUUUUGAUGGGGAAGUCAGUUCCACAGGUAUUGAUAAGGUACUUCCACUCAACAGUCGAGUUCAACAGAUCAUUCAUGCAGUUCAGGUCAGCUUGGACUCGAGACCAAGAGGCAUAAACAACCCUCUCCAGUUUGCUUGCCACAAACACAUUUGGAAAACAAGAAACAAUGGCUUCCGCAGCCUUCAUGAAGUUUUCUGGAGACUUCUUGUCCACAUGCACACAGUACACAUUCUGUGGUGUGUACACAGCUCUGAGGAGCCUCUCAAACAUCUCGAUCUUUUCAUGGAUCACCAUGGAAUAGGCAAUAGGAAAGUCCCUCUCUUCUUCACUGAGAGCUACGGUUAGAAACCCCCUGUCUCUGAUGUAAGCACUGCAAUCCUUUGUUGAAUUGAGAUAGAAAGACUCUGGCAACGGUUUACGUUUUCUCUUCUUCAGAAGUCUGCUGAGGUCCUCCUCAUUAAGGCCUUCCACGUCCCCUCGGAUUAUGGCUGAACAUGUCAAUAAUUCUCCCAGGUCACUGCAGGUAAUGGGAAGCAGGUGUACAACAGGUGUACCCCAAGAUUGGAUGGGCUACAAAAGCCCUGAUCAGAUGGCAGUCGGGAGAGCUUUGGAUUGGAGCUUUGGAUUUGGAUAGAGAUUGGAUUUGGGAUACUCGUUGGUUUU